GGCUCCGAGGCGGCCUGAAGCCCGGCCAAUCGACCGCCGAGCUAUCGAGCGCCCACUCUGGCAGGCAUGACUCCUCUAUCGCCGCAAGAAUGAUGACGACCAUAAAGGACUGUGCCCCCAAAUUGAGGCCAGGAAAGAGUGAGAAACUGGGAAAUGGGAAAACAGGAGGGCAGAGAAAGAGAGACACCUAUGGCCUGCUCUACUGCUCAUGAAGCUUCCUCUCUGUAAGUGGGACCAGGAACUUGAAAAUGGGUUCUUGUGUAUGCCACCAGGUUCCAGAUGCCAGCAUGAUGCCGACCAGGCUUCCCUGGACUGAAGACCCCACCAAUAUGUCCUGGAGCUCCGCUUCCCCCAGAGAUCCACUCUACUAGGGAAAGAGAGAAGCAGACUAGGAAUAUGGAUUGAUCAGUCAACACCCAUGUUCAGUGGGGAAGCAAAUAAUGAAGCCAAACCUUCCACAUUCUGCAACCAACAACGACCCUGGGUCCAUACUCCCAGAGGGAUAGAGAAUGGGAAAGCUAUCAAGUGAGGGGAUGGGAUAUGGAGAUCAAGUGGUGGGAAUUGUGUGGAGUUGUACCUCCUCCUAUCCUACGGUUUUGUUAAUGUCUCCUUUCUUAAAUAAAUUUAAAAAAAGAUAAUAAAGAA
This is a long non-coding RNA of Erinaceus europaeus (western European hedgehog), 645 nucleotides long. RefSeq lists it as uncharacterized. The transcript is spliced from 3 exons. Lineage: Eukaryota; Metazoa; Chordata; Mammalia; Eulipotyphla; Erinaceidae. The record is from RefSeq and is a predicted model, not a curated record.